This 528-nucleotide ribosomal RNA is filed under the name Bacillus sp. CB19. Its description in RNAcentral is "bacterial SSU rRNA". It matches the Rfam family "Bacterial small subunit ribosomal RNA", at positions 1 to 524 of the family's 1533-position model. Lineage: Bacteria; Bacillati; Bacillota; Bacilli; Caryophanales; Bacillaceae. The record is from RNAcentral.
AAAACAAAGAGUUUGAUCUUGGCUCAGGACGAACGCUGGCGGCGUGCCUAAUACAUGCAAGUCGAGCGAACCACUUCGGUGGUUAGCGGCGGACGGGUGAGUAACACGUGGGCAACCUGCCUGUAAGACUGGGAUAACACCGGGAAACCGGUGCUAAUACCGGAUAAUUCUUACCAACACAUGUUGGUAAGUUGAAAGUCGGUUUCGGCUGACACUUACAGAUGGGCCCGCGGCGCAUUAGCUAGUUGGUGAGGUAACGGCUCACCAAGGCGACGAUGCGUAGCCGACCUGAGAGGGUGAUCGGCCACACUGGGGGACUGAGACACGGCCCAGACUCCUACGGGAGGCAGCAGUAGGGAAUCUUCCACAAUGGACGAAAGUCUGAUGGAGCAACGCCGCGUGAGCGAAGAAGGCCUUGGGUCGUAAAGCUCUGUUGUUAGGGAAGAACAAGUACCGGAGUAACUGCCGGUACUUGACGGUACCUAACCAGAAAGCCACGGCUAACUACGUGCCAGCAGCCGCCGUAAU